RNAcentral lists this ribosomal RNA (253 nucleotides) under uncultured bacterium. Its description in RNAcentral is "partial 16S ribosomal RNA". It matches the Rfam family "Bacterial small subunit ribosomal RNA", at positions 524 to 776 of the family's 1533-position model. The record is from RNAcentral.
CACGUAGGGGGCAAGCGUUGUCCGGAUUUAUUGGGCGUAAAGAGCUCGUAGGCGGUCUGUCGCGUCGGCUGUGAAAACUCGGGGCUCAACCCCGAGCCUGCAGUCGAUACGGGCAGACUAGAGUGCGGUAGGGGAGACUGGAAUUCCUGGUGUAGCGGUGAAAUGCGCAGAUAUCAGGAGGAACACCGGUGGCGAAGGCGGGUCUCUGGGCCGAAAUUGACGCUGAGGAGCGAAAGCGUGGGGAGCAAACAGG